CCGAGGGAACUGUGGCGUGAGGAAGUCCGGUCCCGCGAUUGGCUACGACGGCGAGGUCCUCCUGAUCGAGGCCUCCUCCGUCCCACGGCGGGUGUCAGGCCCCUGCGGGCGUCGGCCGAUCGCGGACUGUGGCUUCCGGGAGUCGGGUUGUUUUGUAUCGCAGCCCAAAGACGGGUGGUAGACCCCAUCCAAGGCUAAAUACCUGCACGAGACCGAUAGAGC
This 222-nucleotide ribosomal RNA is filed under the name Pteraster tesselatus. RNAcentral describes it as "partial 28S ribosomal RNA". It matches the Rfam family "Eukaryotic large subunit ribosomal RNA", at positions 134 to 343 of the family's 3401-position model. The record is from RNAcentral. Lineage: Eukaryota; Metazoa; Echinodermata; Asteroidea; Velatida; Pterasteridae.